GAGCAGUUGUCCCCCAGCAACCCCCCACAGAGGAGGAAACAGAAGAGGGUGCGCUUCCUGGAAGACAAUCCCACCUUCUUGUCCAUCGAGUGGUGGAAUAAGAAACAGAGGAAGAGGAGGUGGGAGAAAAGACGGCAGGAGAUGAAGAAGGCAAUGCACUUGAGGAGGGUAAUGAUACGCCGGCAGAAGGAGCAGAUGUUGAAGAGUGGGGAGAAGGCAGAGGGACAAUGGCAGAGGAAGCAGAGCGCCUCUCAGUUGGCAGAGGAAGGAGCAGCACCAGGCGCAGAGCAGGAGAAGCGGUGAGUGUGGGGGAGACCCC
Molecule: long non-coding RNA, 319 nt
Organism: Calidris pugnax (ruff)
Lineage: Eukaryota; Metazoa; Chordata; Aves; Charadriiformes; Scolopacidae
Exons: 3
Source: RefSeq, a predicted model, not a curated record